GGAAAGAUGCUCGAGUGGCUGAAGAGGCACGAUUGGAAAUCGUGUGACCGACAAAAUCGGUUCUAGGAUUCGAAUCCCUAUCUUUCCG
This 88-nucleotide transfer RNA is filed under the name Candidatus Cryptobacteroides aphodequi. Its description in RNAcentral is "tRNA-Ser". It matches the Rfam family "tRNA". Rfam says of the family: Transfer RNA (tRNA) molecules are approximately 80 nucleotides in length. Their secondary structure includes four short double-helical elements and three loops (D, anti-codon, and T loops). Lineage: Bacteria; Pseudomonadati; Bacteroidota; Bacteroidia; Bacteroidales. The record is from RNAcentral.